Mesocricetus auratus (golden hamster) is the source of this 1383-nucleotide long non-coding RNA. RefSeq lists it as uncharacterized. Lineage: Eukaryota; Metazoa; Chordata; Mammalia; Rodentia; Cricetidae. The record is from RefSeq and is a predicted model, not a curated record. The transcript has 3 exons.
ACAGCCUCCAAAAGCCACAGAGAAACCCUGUCUCGAAAAACCAAAAAAAAAAAAAAAAAAAAAAAGAAUGACCUAACUCCUUUUGUAGGUGAUUUCUGGGGUAAUCAGAAGACUAAACCUUGUUUACAGUUAAGGGCAUCUUCCCUUACUACCAUGUUUCCUAGGGAUUUAUGUGCACUAUCCAUUGUAACCCAUCCAGCACAGAGGGACAGUCUCACUGAAAACUUGUUUGUUUGUUUUUCAAGACAGGCUCUCUCUGUGUAGCCCUGGCUGUAGCCUUGAACUCAGAGAUUCUCCUGCAUGUGUCUUGUGAGUGCUGGGACUAAAGCUCACUUAGGUCCUUUAUUGUUUGAGACGCACUUUCUGAAGCUCUUUCCCCCACAGCGCCUGUCUCAGGCUUUACACCCGUGUUAAGGACAGGUUAAGGACGUUACACCCAUGUUUACAUCCCCUUUAGAAACCCCGGCUCUGUGGCAUCUCGGCUCAUUCUGGAACCCUGCUGCAGUGAUGUGGAGGAGCUGCCUGGGUCAGGUGCAAGAAGGUGAAAUCCAACAGCUUCGCCAGCUGGUUUCCAGCCAGGUAAAGCACACGUAGCUGGACCAAGCCCACAAAUGCACCGCCACGCAAUCCCCGAAGCCGGUUGCCAGUGAGCGCCAGUUCAAGCAGGCGGGGCUGCGCACGGAAGGCGCCCGACUCCAGUGCCCGCAGGGUAUUGUUAUGCAAGUAGAGGUGGCGCAGGGCAGCGAGUGGCGCCAGGGCGCCUUGCUCCAGGUGCGCGAUGCUGUUGUCUUGCAGGAACAGCGUCUGAAGAUGGGGGGACCAGAGGAUUACUUCACCGUGGGGCAGGUCCCAGUCCCAUGCAGCGCCCCGUCCCACCUGCCGGUAAACCUCUGCACCCUCGUGACCUUCCACCACACCUCUGGUGCUCACCAAUCUCUUCCAUGCCACGCGUGCCCACUACUCCAACCCAAGACCCUCCAGUCCCACGUAGUGCCCACCUGCGUCCCUGGGGGGAUUCCCGGCGGGACGACACGCAGCCGUAGGGCGCCGCACUCCACUGUGGCACUGUAGCAGCGGCAGGCGGCGGGACAGCCAGUGGCGUGGGGCGGGAGUCCGGGCAGCAGCGGCAGCAACAGCAACCCCAACAGUAGCGGCAGCAGUGGGGGCGCCCCUGGGGCCAUUUCCGAAGAGCCCCACCAGGAAGCUGUGGCUUCCCCAAGGGCUGGACCCGUUCGGGAUGCGGCUCCUGAAACAGGGCCUACUGUGUUUCUCUCUUGGCCUGGACUUGAUUAUGUGGACCACAAUGGCUUCAAAACCCAGAGGUCUUUCUGUGUUUGACUCUGAGUGGUGAGAUUAAAGGCCUGUGUGGCCAUGCCUAGCGUA